AUUGAACGCUGGCGGCAUGCCUUACACAUGCAAGUCGAACGGCAGCACGGGAGCAAUCCUGGUGGCGAGUGGCGAACGGGUGAGUAAAGUAUCGGAACGUACCUUUCAGUGGGGGAUAACGUAGCGAAAGUUACGCUAAUACCGCAUACAUCCUACGGGGGAAAGCAGGGGAUCUUCGGACCUUGCGCUAUUAGAUGAGCCUAUGUCGGAUUAGCUAGUUGGUGAGGUAAAGGCUCACCAAGGCGACGAUCCGUAGCUGGUCUGAGAGGAUGAUCAGCCACACUGGGACUGAGACACGGCCCAGACUCCUACGGGAGGCAGCAGUGGGGAAUAUUGGACAAUGGGCGAAAGCCUGAUCCAGCCAUGCCGCGUGGUAGAUGAAGGCCCUCUGGGUUGUAAUACCUUUUAUCUGGAAGAAAUAUCUCGUUCUCGAGAAACUGACGGUACCAGAUGAAUAAGCACCGGCUAACUCCGUGCCAGCAGC
This 484-nucleotide ribosomal RNA is filed under the name uncultured bacterium. RNAcentral describes it as "bacterial SSU rRNA". It matches the Rfam family "Bacterial small subunit ribosomal RNA", at positions 30 to 515 of the family's 1533-position model. The record is from RNAcentral.